CUAAGGCCAGCGAGAGAACUGUUGUUAAGGAACUCGGCAAAAUGACCCCGUAACUUAGGGAUAAGGGGUGCCACCAUCAGGUGGCCGCAGAGAAUAGGCCCAAGCGACUGUUUACCAAAAACAUAGGUUUCUGCUAAGUCACAAGACGAUGUAUAGGAGCUGACGCCUGCCCGGUGCUGGACGGUUAAGAGGCUCUGUUAGAGCAACCGAAGCAGGGAACUUACGCCCCAGUAAACGGCGGCCGUAACUAUAACGGUCCUAAGGGAGCGCACGUCCUUGUCGGGUACGUUACGACCCGCCCGAAAGGAGUAACGAUUUGGGCACUGUCUCAACAACCGACUCG
This 343-nucleotide ribosomal RNA is filed under the name Clostridioides difficile. Its description in RNAcentral is "bacterial LSU rRNA". It matches the Rfam family "Bacterial large subunit ribosomal RNA", at positions 1681 to 2035 of the family's 2925-position model. Lineage: Bacteria; Bacillati; Bacillota; Clostridia; Peptostreptococcales; Peptostreptococcaceae. The record is from RNAcentral.